This 426-nucleotide ribosomal RNA is filed under the name uncultured Actinomycetes bacterium. RNAcentral describes it as "bacterial SSU rRNA". It matches the Rfam family "Bacterial small subunit ribosomal RNA", at positions 958 to 1385 of the family's 1533-position model. Lineage: Bacteria; Bacillati; Actinomycetota; Actinomycetes. The record is from RNAcentral.
AACGCGAAGAACCUUACCAAGGUUUGACAUGCAGGGAAAAGCCGUAGAGAUACGGUGUCCGUAAGGGUCCUGCACAGGUGGUGCAUGGCUGUCGUCAGCUCGUGUCGUGAGAUGUUGGGUUAAGUCCCGCAACGAGCGCAACCCUCGUCCUAUGUUGCCAGCGGGUAAUGCCGGGGACUCAUAGGAGACUGCCGGGGUCAACUCGGAGGAAGGUGGGGAUGACGUCAAGUCCUCAUGCCCCUUAUGUCUUGGGCUGCAAACAUGCUACAAUGGCCGGUACAAAGGGUUGCGAGACCGCAAGGUGGAGCGAAUCCCAAAAAGCCGGUCUCAGUUCGGAUUGGGGUCUGCAACUCGACCCCAUGAAGUCGGAGUCGCUAGUAAUCGCAGAUCAGCAACGCUGCGGUGAAUACGUUCCCGGGCCUUGUA